RNAcentral lists this ribosomal RNA (491 nucleotides) under uncultured bacterium. RNAcentral describes it as "bacterial SSU rRNA". It matches the Rfam family "Bacterial small subunit ribosomal RNA", at positions 28 to 509 of the family's 1533-position model. The record is from RNAcentral.
GAUAAACGCUAGCGACAGGCCUAACACAUGCAAGUCGAGGGGCAGCACAUGAGUAGCAAUACGAUGGUGGCGACCGGCGCACGGGUGAGUAACACGUAUGCAACCUACCCAUAAGAGGGGAAUAACCCGGAGAAAUUCGGACUAACACCGCAUAAUACUGAAUAUUCGCAUGGAUUUUCAGUUAAAUAUUAAUAGCUUAUGGAUGGGCAUGCGUAUGAUUAGAUAGUUGGUAGGGUAACGGCCUACCAAGUCAACGAUCAUUAGGGGUUCUGAGAGGAAGGUCCCCCACAUUGGAACUGAGACACGGUCCAAAACUCCUACGGGAGGCAGCAGUGAGGAAUAUUGGUCAAUGGGCGAGAGCCUGAACCAGCCAUGUCGCGUGAAGGAAGAAUGUCCUAUGGAUUGUAAACUUCUUUUAUGCAGGAAUAAAGUGUACUACGUGUAGUAUUUUUGUAUGUACUGUAUGAAUAAGGAUCGGCUAACUCCGUGCC